Molecule: ribosomal RNA, 343 nt
Filed under: uncultured bacterium
Lineage: Bacteria
Description: bacterial SSU rRNA
Rfam family: Bacterial small subunit ribosomal RNA
Source: RNAcentral
AGUAAACGCUGGCGGUGCGACCUAAAACAUGCAAGUCGAGCGCCCAGCACAAUGCGGAUAGAAAGCAGCAACUUACGACCCUAAGUCCUAAGUCCCCUGUCCUAUGUCCUCAUCGUGCUGGGAGCGGCGAACGGCUGCGUAACACGUGGAUACCUGCCCCCGAACUCAGGGAUAACCUCGCGAAAGCGAGGCUAAUACCGGAUGGUCUCGAAAGAGUAAAGCUUUCGCGGUCGGGAGGGGUCUGCGGCCUAUCAGGUAGUUGGUAAGGUACGCUUACCAAGCUAUGACGGGUAGCUGGUCUGAGAGGACGACCAGCCAGAAUGGAACUGAGACACGGUCCAUA